GAACGCGAAGAACCUUACCAGGUCUUGACAUCCCUCUGACCGCUCUAGAGAUAGAGUUUUCCUUCGGGACAGAGGUGACAGGUGGUGCAUGGUUGUCGUCAGCUCGUGUCGUGAGAUGUUGGGUUAAGUCCCGCAACGAGCGCAACCCCUAUUGUUAGUUGCCAUCAUUCAGUUGGGCACUCUAGCGAGACUGCCGGUAAUAAACCGGAGGAAGGUGGGGAUGACGUCAAAUCAUCAUGCCCCUUAUGACCUGGGCUACACACGUGCUACAAUGGCUGGUACAACGAGUCGCGAGUCGGUGACGGCAAGCUAAUCUCUUAAAGCCAGUCUCAGUUCGGAUUGUAGGCUGCAACUCGCCUACAUGAAGUCGGAAUCGCUAGUAAUCGCGGAUCAGCACGCCGCGGUGAAUACGUUCCCGGGUCUUGUACACACC
RNAcentral lists this ribosomal RNA (433 nucleotides) under uncultured bacterium. RNAcentral describes it as "bacterial SSU rRNA". It matches the Rfam family "Bacterial small subunit ribosomal RNA", at positions 957 to 1391 of the family's 1533-position model. The record is from RNAcentral.